AACAUAACGAAAAUGCAUAAGAACUAGCUAACUAAGGCGCAUAAAUAUGCUCCUAUCACUAUUGUGUAAAAUUUACUUGGUACUGUCCAAAUAAUAAUUUACUUGAUGGUUGGUUGGUUGGUUGGUUCAUUCGUUCGUUCAUUCGUUCGUUCAGGUACUUUUGAGAUAAACAUUGUUGGCAGAACUUCACUCUAUGGGACAUUACUUGCACAUAAUUUCUAUACAUUUCGUUGGUCUCCUCAUGCAGCUACAGAGAUUAUGCUAUUGUGGACAGACAGGAGUCAUGCAAGCACCUAUGUAGCUUCAGUCAUUUAGUUCAAGCUCAAAUUUCCAAGAUUUGAUUGCUGCGUGGUCUUCUUCAAUCAGUUUGAUGACUUAAGUAUGGGCAAGUCCAUUUUAUGUUCCUGACCUCAUUGUAUAACUAAGCUCCUUCAACAACUCGCACACCCUCACUCCUGCCAGCUGCAAGGUAUUCGUUCCUAACAAGUGGUUUGCUUAUUACACGAACCUUCUGGGUCUAGAUGCAGCGAGUUUUCUGUAUCCAUUCCAGUAUUACAUUCGGGUUCAUGUCUCUCAUCCGAAUUCCCAUCGAACCUUCUUCUCAUACCACUGCAGUCUACAGAAUCAGCUUGUGUGGAGUACAUAUGUUCAAGUCCCUCACUGUUAUGAUCAAAUUAGAACCUGAAGUUCAUUAAUCCCCAUCAUAUAAAAAGAUUAGUCCUAAAAGAUCAGAUCUAACGUUCCUUGAUCAAAUUAGAACCUAAUGUUUCUUGACCCCCACCAUGUAAAAAGAUCAGACCUAAAGUUUCUUGUUCCUCAUUAUGUAAAAAAUCGGACCUGAUGUUUCUUGAUCCUCAUUAUAUAAAAAUAUCAGAUCCGAAGUUCUGUGAUCAAAAUUAAAACUAUGAAGGUUCUUCAAUCAAUUGCAUGGUACCACCACCACACUACUCCAGGGCACUAGGUGGAGUCCUAACGACUCCUUUGCUGGAUGACCAUGCUUAUUCCACAAAACACGCAAACUUAUCCAGAUAUGGACACAAUCAGAUCAUAUAAGUCUUGGAGUCCCAGCAAACUAGGGAUAGGCGUGUGCUGCAACUAAUUAAAACUCUUAAGAAGAUGCAAUAUCUACUUACUAGAUAUCAUCUAAGAUUCUCCUGGCUUAUAACGAGCAUUCUAUCCUAAAAAGGUUUAUCUCCCACGAUAGAAAUACACCCAUAUAGAUUUCAGCUACGGUAACACAAUGAAUACACUUGAAUUCUAUUGCCCACUACUUAAGGCUAAAAUUAUUCACUAACUUGACCGUCGGAGAGUGUUUGGUUGGCACACCCUCCCUGGCCCUAAAGUUUGCUUACGGUUAUUUUACUGUUUUGCAGGUUGCUUAGGUUUACUUGAAUUUGUGUUUAACCACCGCUUACAGAUGUGUGCAUAUUUGGUUCCAACAAUUGGUGCUUUCAUUGAGAGAGAACCUAUAUUGCUCAGAAAGUUCAGUCAAGGACAAUGAUGUGAGAAAUAAGUUAACACACAAAUUAAACCCUCUUUUUGACAAUUGAAGUAUAGAUGUAAGUAGGGUAUCGUUCUAAACCGGGGAUUAGGAGGGCUUGCUAA
RNAcentral lists this long non-coding RNA (1605 nucleotides) under Malus domestica (apple). RNAcentral describes it as "long non-coding RNA (MDOM_LNC018928)". The record is from RNAcentral. Lineage: Eukaryota; Viridiplantae; Streptophyta; Magnoliopsida; Rosales; Rosaceae.